UAAUGGGAUGGGACUCCCAGUAGGGGAUGC
RNAcentral lists this small RNA (30 nucleotides) under Bombyx mori (domestic silkworm). Its description in RNAcentral is "ovarian small RNA-5858". Lineage: Eukaryota; Metazoa; Arthropoda; Insecta; Lepidoptera; Bombycidae. The record is from RNAcentral.